RNAcentral lists this ribosomal RNA (525 nucleotides) under uncultured bacterium. RNAcentral's name for it is "bacterial SSU rRNA". It matches the Rfam family "Bacterial small subunit ribosomal RNA", at positions 524 to 1050 of the family's 1533-position model. The record is from RNAcentral.
UACGUAGGGGGCGAGCGUUAUCCGGAAUUAUUGGGCGUAAAGAGUGCGUAGGUGGUCUUGUAAGCGUGGGGUAAAAGGCUAUGGCUCAACCAUAGUAAGCCUUGCGAACUGUGAGACUUGAGUGCAGGAGAGGAAAGUGGAAUUCCUAGUGUAGCGGUGAAAUGCGUAGAUAUUAGGAGGAACACCAGUGGCGAAGGCGACUUUCUGGACUGUAACUGACACUGAGGCACGAAAGCGUGGGUAGCAAACAGGAUUAGAUACCCUGGUAGUCCACGCCGUAAACGAUGAGCACUAGGUGUCGGGGUCGCAAGACUUCGGUGCCGAAGUUAACGCAUUAAGUGCUCCGCCUGGGGAGUACGCACGCAAGUGUAAAACUCAAAGGAAUUGACGGGGACCCGCACAAGCAGCGGAGCAUGUGGUUUAAUUCGAAGCAACGCGAAGAACCUUACCAGGACUUGACAUCCCUCUGACCGACUCUUAACCGAGUCUUCCCUUCGGGGCAGAGGAGACAGGUGGUGCAUGGUU